ACAGGAAGCCGGUGUGAAUCCGGCACGGUCCCGCCACUGUGACCGGGGAGCGCCCCUCCGACACGCCACUGCGCACCGCGCGGGAAGGCGGGGGGAACGUCGAUCCGGGAGUCAGGACACUG
Non-coding RNA from Streptomyces sp. H-KF8, 122 nucleotides. The record is from Rfam. Lineage: Bacteria; Bacillati; Actinomycetota; Actinomycetes; Kitasatosporales; Streptomycetaceae.